AUGGUGGUAGGAGCAUUUGGGAGAAUACCUGGCGCUUGUGUAUAGAAAGGCUUCACGGUCAAAAGUCGCCUCUCAUUACCCCUGAGACACCUUUGCAAUCCCGUUCAGGUGCUAGUGCUCCCGAGCAAUCAAUUAAACAAAAUGCACUUCAAAGUAAAGCAGUCUCUCCACCUGUUGUUCGUGGCAGCAGCAAGGGUACUCCUACA
RNAcentral lists this unclassified non-coding RNA (206 nucleotides) under Hevea brasiliensis (rubber tree). The record is from RNAcentral. Lineage: Eukaryota; Viridiplantae; Streptophyta; Magnoliopsida; Malpighiales; Euphorbiaceae.